This 253-nucleotide ribosomal RNA is filed under the name uncultured bacterium. Its description in RNAcentral is "partial 16S ribosomal RNA". It matches the Rfam family "Bacterial small subunit ribosomal RNA", at positions 524 to 776 of the family's 1533-position model. The record is from RNAcentral.
UACGUAGGGCGCAAGCGCUGUCCGGAAUUAUUGGGCGUAAAGAGCUCGUAGGCGGUCUGUCGCGUCGGAUGUGAAAGCCCGGGGCUUAACCCCGGGUCUGCAUUCGAUACGGGCAGGCUGGAGUUCGGUAGGGGAGACUGGAAUUCCUGGUGUAGCGGUGAAAUGCGCAGAUAUCAGGAGGAACACCGGUGGCGAAGGCGGGUCUCUGGGCCGAUACUGACGCUGAGGAGCGAAAGCGUGGGGAGCGAACAGG